This 495-nucleotide ribosomal RNA is filed under the name uncultured bacterium. RNAcentral describes it as "partial 16S ribosomal RNA". It matches the Rfam family "Bacterial small subunit ribosomal RNA", at positions 28 to 507 of the family's 1533-position model. The record is from RNAcentral.
GACGAACGCUGGCGGCGUGCCUAAUACAUGCAAGUAGAACGCUGAAGGAGGAGCUUGCUUCUCCGGAUGAGUUGCGAACGGGUGAGUAACGCGUAGGUAACCUGCCUGGUAGCGGGGGAUAACUAUUGGAAACGAUAUCUAAUACCGCAUAACAGUAGAUGUUGCAUGACAUUUGCUUAAAAGGUGCAAUUGCAUCACUACCAGAUGGACCUGCGUUGUAUUAGCUAGUUGGUGAGGUAACGGCUCACCAAGGCGACGAUACAUAGCCGACCUGAGAGGGUGAUCGGCCAAACUGGGACUGGGACACGGCCCAGACUCCUACGGGAGGCAGCAGUAGGGAAUCUUCGGCAAUGGACGGAAGUCUGACCGAGCAACGCCGCGUGAGUGAAGAAGGUUGUCGGAUCGUAAAGCUCUGUUGUAAGAGAAGAACGAGUGUGAGAGUGGAAAGUUCACACUGUGACGGUAUCUGACCAGAAAGGGACGGCUAACUACGUG